This 484-nucleotide ribosomal RNA is filed under the name uncultured bacterium. RNAcentral's name for it is "partial 16S ribosomal RNA". It matches the Rfam family "Bacterial small subunit ribosomal RNA", at positions 28 to 523 of the family's 1533-position model. The record is from RNAcentral.
GACGAACGCUGGCGGCGUGCUUAACACAUGCAAGUCGAACGAUGAAGCCGGAGCUUGCUCUGGUGAAUUAGUGGCGAACGGGUGAGUAACACGUGAGUAACCUGCCCUUGACUCUGGGAUAACUGCGGGAAACUGUAGCUAAUACCGGAUACGACCCUCGGAGGCAUCUCCUGGGGGUGGAAAGAAUUUCGGUCAAGGAUGGACUCGCGGCCUAUCAGCUAGUUGGUGAGGUAAAGGCUCACCAAGGCGACGACAGGUAGCCGGCCUGAGAGGGUGACCGGCCACACUGGGACUGAGACACGGCCCAGACUCCUACGGGAGGCAGCAGUGGGGAAUAUUGCACAAUGGGCGCAAGCCUGAUGCAGCGACGCCGCGUGAGGGAUGAAGGUCUUCGGAUUGUAAACCUCUUUCAGUAGGGACGAAGCGAAAGUGACGGUACCUAAAGAAGAAGCACCGGCUAACUACGUGCCAGCAGCCGCGGUAA